GAGAAAGUGAAGGAAAAUCUGUCUCAGUUAAAAGAUGAAUUGGAAGACUUACUUAAGCAUGGUGUAGAACAGAUUUCCAUGAGGGCUAGAGCGAUAAGAAUAGUCCCUCCCAAUGAGCUCUUGAGCAGACAAGACUUCUUAACAUACUUGUGUCAACUCAAUCUAGAUCCCAACACAGCAGACCCGAGACUUCAUUUGUCUGAUAGUAAUAAAGAAGUCACUUGUAAAAACAAGCAGUCAUAUCCUGACAAUCCAGAAAGGUUUGACUAUUGGACCCAAGUGCUGUGUAAGGAGGCUGUGACUGGAAGAUGCUACUG
This is a long non-coding RNA of Sardina pilchardus (European sardine), 317 nucleotides long. RefSeq lists it as uncharacterized. The transcript has 3 exons. NCBI's taxonomy places the organism in Eukaryota, Metazoa, Chordata, Actinopteri, Clupeiformes, Clupeidae. The record is from RefSeq and is a predicted model, not a curated record.